Molecule: ribosomal RNA, 500 nt
Filed under: uncultured bacterium
Lineage: Bacteria
Description: partial 16S ribosomal RNA
Rfam family: Bacterial small subunit ribosomal RNA
Source: RNAcentral
AUUGAACGCUGGCGGCAUGCCUUACACAUGCAAGUCGAACGGCAGCACGGGAGCAAUCCUGGUGGCGAGUGGCGAACGGGUGAGUAAAGUAUCGGAACGUGCCCAGUCGUGGGGGAUAACGUAGCGAAAGUUACGCUAAUACCGCAUACGAUCUAUGGAUGAAAGCGGGGGAUCGCAAGACCUCGCGCGAUUGGAGCGGCCGAUAUCAGAGUAGGUAGUUGGUGGGGAAAAGGCUCACCAAGCCGACGAUCUGUAGCUGGUCUGAGAGGACGACCAGCCACACUGGGACUGAGACAAGGCCCAGACUCCUACGGGAGGCAGCAGUGGGGAAUUUUGGACAAUGGGCGAAAGCCUGAUCCAGCCAUGCCGCGUGCAGGAUGAAGGCCUUCGGGUUGUAAACUGCUUUUGUACGGAACGAAAAGGUUUGGCCUAAUAAGCUGAGCUCAUGACGGUACCGUAAGAAUAAGCACCGGCUAACUACGUGCCAGCAGCCGCGGUAA